Molecule: long non-coding RNA, 1304 nt
Organism: Cryptomeria japonica (Japanese cedar)
Lineage: Eukaryota; Viridiplantae; Streptophyta; Pinopsida; Cupressales; Cupressaceae
Exons: 2
Source: RefSeq, a predicted model, not a curated record
GGAAGACAUUCUUGGCAGGUUCUUGCAGGCAAUGAGCCCGCAUUAGAUUUAACCUAAUAAUAGUAAAUCUUAAUAACUCAUCACCUUUGAGCCCGCAUUAGAUUUAACCUAAUAAUAGUAAAUCUUAGUAACUCAUCACCUUUUGCAUGGCAUUUGAUUAGCUUUCUCCAUUCCCACUCUUGGCCAUUAUAUUUUGCAGGGCAUUUGUAAAAGGAAAACUAUGCAGUGAUGGCAGGGUAGUGGAGGAUUGGAGUCGGUGUUGGCUAUUGACAUAUAAAUUCCCUCUUCAUGCUAAGGAAAUAUGACAGGUCACAAAAUUUUCUUCUCCAAGUCUGCAAUAGGUUGCUCGAGAUAGGAUACUGAGGAGGUGGAAUAUGGAGCUGGGCAGUGACAGUGAAGGGCGCCAAAAUAUCCAGUGGUAGCGUAAUGCAUCUUAUAAAUUUUAGAUAUGCAAAGUGAGUUUCAGUUAUUUAUUGGUGGGAAGAUUAAACAUAUUUUUGUAGGAUUCUGGAUGUCUUGUUAACAAUUAUGGGGUAAGUUGAGGGAUGCCAUAAUUGUUUCUUUUCUAGAUGACUCAUUUGUAGAUAGCACUAAACAUUUUAGUCUGGAGUGGGGCGUGAGAGUUAGGGUAUAACUUGUAAUAAGUGAUUUUCCAUUGUUUCAAUUAUUUAUGUUUGACAAACAUUAUGCGACCUCCCCUGUGCACAAAUUAUGGUGGUGUCUGUUUGUGAUUUUCUGAACAUAUCAUCUUGCCUUCAAGAAGCACCAUCUGAAUUCCUUCCAGUUGUUGUCAUUCAAGGUUGGAUUUAUUUUUGAAGUUGUGUAACAUAAGAGGAGUUUGGCAUGGAGUUUUAUUUGUGGUUUCUUUGGUAUAAGGAGGGAUUUUCCAUCAUAUCCCUCUCAGGUGAGUUGGGACAAAGAAUCCAACACUCAGAAUAUAUUCUUGUUAUCAUGUGACAUGUGGUUGUGAGGGGGCAACAACAUAAAUGUUUGUAUAAAGCAUGUGCAUUCUUCAUGAAAUUGGCGGCAUGGGACUUGGAUUGGGGUCGUGGCUCUAUAUUGAACUGAUACGCUUGAAACCUAUAUUGAAAUUACAAUGGGAUCUAUAUUGAACCGAUUAUUUUCAGUACGCAGGAAGCCAUGUGGAUUGAUGGAGCUUUCUAUUUCUGUGCAUAAGGAUUUAUAUUUGCAGACAAGUUGUAUAUAAUUCAAAGUAAUUGUUGUAAUCUACAUUAUCAAAGAAUUUUUUUUAUUUGAGAUUAACUUCUCCUACAAAUAUUAUUGAGUUGGGUUUCAUUAUUUCA